CUGAUGCUCUUGCAGCACUUAAAAAUAUCUGCAUGACCUGUUUUUAUUAUUAUUAAUAAAAGGUGCAUUAUGCAAGAGCUAAAUCUGCCUAUUAAUUAGACAUUUAUUAACAUGACAAGACCAUACUCAACUUUCCAUGUUUGACUUAAUCUAAAAAUGGAGGAGGUUGCAAUUAUUACACACGUCUUGUCAAACCUUCAAAGACUAAUAUCUUCACUCACAAUAGAGUAAUUUGAACGAAGUUUUCAAAUUAUUCAUUUUAUAUUAUCUAUUUUCGGACUAUUAUAGCGAGAAUGGUUAGCUCUUUAUCCAAAUCUUACAUAAUGUAUCUUCAAUUGCUAAUUAAUUAUUAGGAAGGAUCGUCUGAGAAACAGAAUAUUAUUUUGUUUGGCCUUGUCUGUGUUCUUCAUAUUUCUUCUAUAAAAUUGAUAUAUUACAUAUGUUUUUACUAGAGCUGUGUUUUGCAGCGUAAAAUCGUUUCACAACAUAGUGUUCAAUCUGAUUAAAACACAGAUACUAUUUCGUUUCGUUUUUUUUAUAGUUCAAAAUUUCGUUUUACUUGUCUUUACUACACUAGGAUCUGAAAGAGUUGUUAUAUAACCCGCGUUCUGGAUGAUUUGAGUUAUUAGCCAAUGAAACGGUCUGUUAUGGCGAGUUUUUGGCGCGAGAUGCACGGAACUGUGGGUAACCCACUAGUAAUACCAACUCUGAUUGGUUAAUUAAAUGUCUGACGUCAUAAGGUCAAAAGCAACUCGUAUGACCCCUGACGCAACCUUCCACUACAACUUUUCAGAUCUUCAUGUAGUGAGGGCCAUCGAAAGUAUAAAAAACGAAACGAAAUAUAGAUCUGUAUUUGAAUCGGAUUGAUAAUGUUAUACAUAAUAUACAAUACAAUAUCAUAGUGUUAUACAUGUACAUAAUAUACAUGUACAUGUACAAUACAAUAUCAUAGUGUUAUACAUGUACAUAAUAUACAUGUAUAAUACAGUAUCCAAUAAAUGUUAGUAGACCGGCCAUAGACAUUGUCAGACACACGAUAUCACAUAACUUACAUGUUAAAAUAUAUAGGUUGUGGGGUAUUCAUGCCUGAAAACAUCGAUGACCAGUGCCUUCUGUGCAGGCCCGAAUAUAGACCUACAGUAUACAUGUAUGUUUAUGACUAGCUAGGGGAUACGACACUUGUCACGCACAAUUUCAGACUCUUGUCACGCAAGAUAUCUGACUUUGUCACGCACAAAACCUCCCGCCCAGUGCCGUUCAUUUGUCUGUUUUAUUAAUACUGAUACAUGUCUGACACAAAGUUUAAAAUAGUGUCUGGUACCAGUAGUCCAUUAGUGCCUGACAUCGGGUACUUGUCCAUUAGGGCCUGACAUCGGGUACUUGUCCAUUAGGGCCUGACAUCGGGUACUUGUCCAUUAGGGCCUGACAUCAGAUACCAGUAGUCUAUUAAUGUCUGGCAUCAGGUACUUGUCCAUUAAUGCCUGACAUCAGAUACGUGUCCAUUAAUGCCUGACAUUUGUCAGUUAAAAUUACAACUGUUAUUACACAUGUACCAGUCCUGUGUAUAUGUGAAUAUAAAAGAGAAAAACACUCAUUUCUCAACUGUUAUAAGAUAUACAGCACAAGAUACGUGUCUAUACAUUUUAAAAUUACAUCGAUAGAGCUUUCUCCCGUCAAAAAGGUGUGGCAAAUUUCCACGUAUUAUUAGGUCUCGUUGUUAUUCACGCCCAUGACAUUGACAAGCGUGAAGUUUUCAAGUCAAAAUUAAACAUACAUUAUGCAAGAGCUAAAUCUGCCUAUUGCAGGUCUUUCUUUAGGCCUGAAAUGUUAUCUAAAUUAUUAAUUAGACAUUAUUUAACUUAUCCAGAGCAUAAUCCACUCUUGAUGACAUCGCUAGCCUGCGAUAUUUACUGAAUUAGGAUCCCAUUUGCCUCUCAACUUUUAUUGAUGAUUAAAUAAAAAAAUUGAUAAUUGAGACAUGUUUUUUAUGUACUUUAGUAAUGAUUUAUGAGGCUAAAAUUCAAUCGCUAAAUUCUCGGUUCAGAGUUAAUCAAUUUGAUUGAAAUUUUCAGCAAACCCCCUUUACAUUAUUUAAUUUUAACUAUUAAAUUGAGAAUUGCCAACUCUUUACCUUAUCUCCCCCAUAAUGUAUCUUUAAUCUUUUUACUAUGUUGUACGAGCCAUGCACUCAUUGAAAAAUGGUUAAUUCCAUAAACGUUAUAAAAUCUCAUGGACUUUGUUUAUUUUGUUUAUAUUUUUAUAAUUUUGUUAAGAUAAGACAUAAUAAUUUAAACUAUUUGUUGAAAAUAUUUUUUUCAUUUUCAUCGAAAUGCUUAAAAUUAUCUUUCUUGGAACCAAUAGCAAUGGUCGUUGCUGUAGGGAAAGAUGCUGGAUUAUUCAUUAAAGGAAAUAUAUAAAUCGCUAAUAUUUGGGACCUGGAAAUUAACAUAAAUGGGUCGCAACACAUAAAAUAAUGUAAUAUGAAUGUAUAUAAACUGAUUUACAUUCAAUCGUUUCCAUUUUUACUGUAAUUUCAAAGCAGUUAUGUUCGGCAAAAUACGCCAGAAGUCUCAAUCGAAUGGUAAUCUCUAGCGACUGGUUAUUCCAUUUUAUACCGUUAGUAUUUAUUGCGCAUGCUCUCCAGAUAAGAAUAUGGGGUCACCGUUUGACAUGACUUGUGCAAUAUGUCUAACCCCGUUUCUCGGGUUGCUUGUUCGGUGAAAUAUGCCAGAAGUCUCAAUCGAAUGGCAAUCACUAGCAUCUGGUUAUUCCAGUCUAUGUCGUUAGUGUUUAUUGUGCAUGCUCUCCAGAUAAGAAUAUGGCGUCACUGUUUGAAAUGACUUCUGGAAUAUGUCUAGCCUUGUUCUUCGAGUCCCUUGUUACAAAUGGCACUGAAACGCAUUAUGGUACACGAUUCGUGUACCAAUGGUAAAAUGUUUAUUUUAUCUUACAUAUUGGAUAUCAGAACCCCAUCUUUUCCCGGUAAGAUCAAAACAUCAAUGUUGAUUUAAAUUGACAAAUAAUUCGUGUUUUCAAUGUCAAAGACUUAGGAUGAUAUUGAGUUAGAGAUUUAGCUACUUUAAAGAUGAAAUUUCAUAUUUUUAAGUUUUAUUUUUAAAAUUUAUUAAAAUAAAGCCUUAAAAUAGAUGGUAUCUAUAAACAGUCCUACCUUGUUAAAGAAUAAUUCUAUUAAUCCUAUAAUUCACUAUUGUCAUUUGAAAACAAGGGAGGUAAUUGUGUUAUUAUUUCCUGUGUCAAUGGUUUUUAAGUGUGAGAAUGAUACCUAUGAUCGUAUAAUAGUGAGUUGACAACCUAUUGAGCAAAAGACAUAGAAAUAAUUAUGUUUUGACUUUCUUAGAAAAUAUGAAAUUGUAACUUUAAAACACCGUGAAAUACACAAUUUAUAUACAAGUAUUGUACAGGCGGAAGAGUACCAAUAGAUGAAUAUGCCGCAGAUGUUUCCCUCAAAGCACACUGCAUGGCGUAUGCCAGUUUUCAUUAAUUCAGAUCUGAACGGAUGAAUCAAUAAAUCCUGUAUAGGUCAAGACUGAUGUUCAGAUCUGAACGACGUCUUUGUUAUCUUACAUGGUGCAUAAAAGUAGAACGUUAAACCCUAUUUUAUUUUAUUUUAUACAAGUAUAUAUUCUCGUUGGUGCACAUGUGACCAGAAGUUACAUAUUUAUGCAACCUGGUUUAUUUAUUAUGUUAUGUUUGUACCAUUCAAUCUGAUUAAAACACAGAUCCUAUUUCGUUUCAUUUUAUAUAGUUCAAAAUUUCGUUUUACUUGUCUUUACUACACUGGGAUCUGGAAGAGUUGUUAUCAUUGACAUGUUCUGAAUGGUGCAAGAUAUUAGCCAAUGAAACGUCCUGUUACGGCGAGCUUUAGGCGUGUUUUUCACGGAACUGUGGGUAAUCCUAUCCACAUCAAUGCUGAUUGGUUAAUCAAAUGUCUGACGUCAUAGGGUCAAAAGCCGCUCGUACGACCCCUGACGUGACCUAUCGCUAUAACUUGUUAGAUCUUCAUGUAGUGUAGGCCAUCGAAAGUAUAAAAAACGAAACGAAACGAAAUAUAGAUCUGUAUUAUAAUCAGUUUUACCUGUACAUGUAAAUUAGAAUCUGACUAUUUCUUUGUUAAAGGUGUUCAGAUCAUGUGAUCAUCCUUCGAUGUAUGGUGUUAGCAUUUUUAGCAUUAUUUAAAUGACAGUAUUUGCUUUAUGUACAUUUACUUAGUAUGAAAAUCUUCUUUUUUAUUCUAUAAUCUUUGAACACUCCAGUAUAUACAUAUAUAACCCAGUUCCUGUUCCAAGAUUGAUCUUUUUUUAUAUUUAGUUUUAUAGCUUAUUUUACAAUGUGCCUGCGAUUACUGUCCCGUAGAUAACCUCAAACCGUCUCCAUAAUAGAACUACAUGUAGUACUGGGUCCUUGAAUAUUUCACAGUAAUGUCAUAAGCUCGAGACCAUUAAACAACUUAAAUUACGUCACAAAAAUUUUAACUAUUAUAAAAAUGUACGCUUGGCACAUUGCCCGUACCAUUAUUUGAAAUGAUGAUACGCCACAUGAAAGGAUGAUGUCACAUUUGUAUUUUGAAAACUGUUAUCACUGCUAAUAGUAGUAAGAUUGCCCGUGCCAUUAUUUGAAAUGAUGAUACGCCAACAUGAAAGGAUGAUGUCACAUUUGUAUUUUGAAAACUGUUAUCACUGCUAAUAGUAGUAAGAGAGAGAGAGAUGGGGUUUAACGUCCACUCAACACAGACUAGGUCAUUUCGGGACUAACACAUGGUUUAAUUUUAUUUCAAUAAUUCGCUUGCGCGUAGGGGUCUUUAGCAGUGGGAGGAAACCGGAGGACCCGGAGAAAACUCACGAGGUUGGACAGGCGACCCUACUCCUUGCCACGUACAACCGGGGAUUCGAAAGCACGCCAGUUGACUCAAUGACAGACUUUAUGGUACAGCGCACACGUGCUAACCAUUCAACCACCCAACCCCCCAAUAAUAGUAAGACGUGUCAAUGUUAUUCAAUGUUCUCUCAACGUCUGUUCAUGUUAUAAUAAUUAGACCUACGUGUAUCGUAUUUGUAUAUUUCAAAAAAAUAAUAAUAAUAAUUUUUUAUGGUUCUACUAGAUCAUGUAAAUAUAGAGAUAUAUAUUAUUAUAUAUUUAUUAUUCUUAUUUGUAGAUUUUUUUGUAAAAUAUAUAUUUUUUUUAUACAAACUGCUCUUAUAUUAAACAAUUUAAAACAUU
This is a long non-coding RNA of Patella vulgata (common limpet), 5238 nucleotides long. RefSeq lists it as uncharacterized. The transcript is spliced from 2 exons. NCBI's taxonomy places the organism in Eukaryota, Metazoa, Mollusca, Gastropoda, Patellidae. The record is from RefSeq and is a predicted model, not a curated record.